This 253-nucleotide ribosomal RNA is filed under the name uncultured bacterium. RNAcentral's name for it is "partial 16S ribosomal RNA". It matches the Rfam family "Bacterial small subunit ribosomal RNA", at positions 524 to 776 of the family's 1533-position model. The record is from RNAcentral.
UACGGGGGGAGCAAGCGUUGUUCGGAUUUACUGGGCGUAAAGGGCGCGUAGGCGGCUUCGCUAGUCGGGCGUGAAAUGCCUGGGCUUAACCCGGGAAUUGCGUUCGAUACUUCGAGGCUAGAGUGUGGGAGAGGUUGGUGGAAUUCCCAGUGUAGAGGUGAAAUUCGUAGAUAUUGGGAAGAACACCGGUGGCGAAGGCGGCCAACUGGACCACAACUGACGCUGAGGCGCGAAAGCGUGGGGAGCAAACAGG